RNAcentral lists this ribosomal RNA (253 nucleotides) under uncultured bacterium. RNAcentral describes it as "partial 16S ribosomal RNA". It matches the Rfam family "Bacterial small subunit ribosomal RNA", at positions 524 to 776 of the family's 1533-position model. The record is from RNAcentral.
UACGUAGGGUGCAAGCGUUGUCCGGAAUUACUGGGCGUAAAGAGCUCGUAGGUGGUUUGUCGCGUUGUCCGUGAAAACUCACAACUCAAUUGUGGGCGUGCGGGCGAUACGGGCAGACUGGAGUACUGCAGGGGAGACUGGAAUUCCUGGUGUAGCGGUGGAAUGCGCAGAUAUCAGGAGGAACACCGGUGGCGAAGGCGGGAUCCUGGGCCAGUACUGACGCUGAGGAGCGAAAGCGUGGGGAGCAAACAGG